Molecule: ribosomal RNA, 377 nt
Filed under: uncultured bacterium
Lineage: Bacteria
Description: bacterial SSU rRNA
Rfam family: Bacterial small subunit ribosomal RNA
Source: RNAcentral
AUACGUAGGUGGCAAGCGUUGUCCGGAUUUACUGGGCGUAAAGGGAGCGUAGGCGGAUACUUAAGUGGGAUGUGAAAUACCUGGGCUUAACUUGGGUGCUGCAUUCCAAACUGGGUGUCUAGAGUGUUGGGGAGGAAAGUGGAAUUCCUAGUGUAGCGGUGAAAUGCGUAGAGAUUAGGAAGAACACCAGUGGCGAAGGCGACUUUCUGGACAAUAACUGACGCUGAGGCUCGAAAGCGUGGGGAGCAAACAGGAUUAGAUACCCUGGUAGUCCACGCCGUAAACGAUGGGUACUAGGUGUAGGGGGUAUCGACCCCCCCUGUGCCGCCGUUAACACAAUAAGUACCCCGCCUGGGGAGUACGGUCGCAAGAUUAAA